RNAcentral lists this long non-coding RNA (228 nucleotides) under Olea europaea (common olive). Its description in RNAcentral is "long non-coding RNA (OEUR_LNC011670)". Lineage: Eukaryota; Viridiplantae; Streptophyta; Magnoliopsida; Lamiales; Oleaceae. The record is from RNAcentral.
AGAAUGAAGUAAGUUUGAGCGUUGCAAAUGGAUUUCAAGUGAAUGUUGAAUUCAUAGGAGUAGUGAAGUUAACUUUAGAGUCUGAUUUUUAUCUUGUUUUGGAAAAUACAGUUUAUGUACCGCAGAUGAGACGGAAUUUAAUUUCUAUACCGAAACUUGAUGCUUGUGGUUUUACAUUUAAUUUUGGUAAUGGAAUGGUUAAGUUAUUUAAUGAUUCUCGUUUGAUUG